GGCCUCGUAGCUCAGUUGGCUAGAGCGUUGGCUGUAAAAAUGCCUUCCACUUGCUGGUGUGUGUUCGAAUCCCACCGAAGUUU
This 83-nucleotide transfer RNA is filed under the name Schistocephalus solidus. It matches the Rfam family "tRNA". Rfam says of the family: Transfer RNA (tRNA) molecules are approximately 80 nucleotides in length. Their secondary structure includes four short double-helical elements and three loops (D, anti-codon, and T loops). Lineage: Eukaryota; Metazoa; Platyhelminthes; Cestoda; Diphyllobothriidea; Diphyllobothriidae. The record is from Rfam by way of RNAcentral.